GGCUGACGAGUGGCGAACGGGUGAGUAAUACAUCGGAACGUGCCCGAGAGUGGGGGAUAACGCAGCGAAAGCUGUGCUAAUACCGCAUACGAUCUACGGAUGAAAGCAGGGGACCGCAAGGCCUUGCGCUCAUGGAGCGGCCGAUGGCAGAUUAGGUAGUUGGUGGGAUAAAAGCUUACCAAGCCGACGAUCUGUAGCUGGUCUGAGAGGACGACCAGCCACACUGGGACUGAGACACGGCCCAGACUCCUACGGGAGGCAGCAGUGGGGAAUUUUGGACAAUGGGCGAAAGCCUGAUCCAGCCAUGCCGCGUGCAGGAUGAAGGCCUUCGGGUUGUAAACUGCUUUUGUACGGAACGAAAAGGUCUUUUCUAAUAAAAGAAGGCUCAUGACGGUACCGUAAGAAUAAGCACCGGCUAAC
RNAcentral lists this ribosomal RNA (420 nucleotides) under uncultured bacterium. RNAcentral describes it as "bacterial SSU rRNA". It matches the Rfam family "Bacterial small subunit ribosomal RNA", at positions 86 to 501 of the family's 1533-position model. The record is from RNAcentral.